CACACAUAUAUAUAUGUGUGUGUGUGUAUACAUAUAUGUAUGUAUAUGUAUACAUACACACAUAUAUACACACACACAUACAUAUGUGUGUGUGUGUAUACAUAUAUGUAUGUACAUA
Small nucleolar RNA from Penaeus indicus, 118 nucleotides. RefSeq annotates it as small nucleolar RNA SNORA40. The transcript has a single exon. The record is from RefSeq and is a predicted model, not a curated record. NCBI's taxonomy places the organism in Eukaryota, Metazoa, Arthropoda, Malacostraca, Decapoda, Penaeidae.